Molecule: long non-coding RNA, 1452 nt
Filed under: Phoenix dactylifera (date palm)
Lineage: Eukaryota; Viridiplantae; Streptophyta; Magnoliopsida; Arecales; Arecaceae
Description: long non-coding RNA (PDAC_LNC007204)
Source: RNAcentral
AAAAAUAUUAUAACUCAAAAUAACUUUCUGACAAUUCCUAAAAGUGCUUUUUUGGAGAAGCUCUAAAAUGGAAUUUCUCCCAAAAAGCUAUUUUAGCUUUCUGAAAAAGCUAAAACAACUUUCCAAAAAUUUUACCAAACACUCCUAUUUUAUCUAAAAGUGCUUUUGGAGGGCCAGAAUGUAUUUUUUGGCCCUCAAAAAGCUCCCCCAAACAUGGCUUUAGUGGUUAGAAUAGUUCUACCACUUCUUUGUCUAAUUUUUGAGGGACUAGUCUUUAAAACUGGACAUUUUCCAUUUUGAUGUUUGUCUUAUUACAAGUUCUUGUUGUUGUUUGUGUUUUCAGGGGGAAAAAGAAAUAAUUAGAUUUGCUUACUUCUUUGACUCCUAGGAGAUGAUUUUUAGGACUGAUAUGAAUGGUUUAGCAAAAAGCAGGGAGGGCGGUGAGGUGGUCAGUUAUAGUUUCUUCAAAAAUAAAGGAAGGCAGCUAUUCCUCUACAAUAGUAUCCAGUUCAAUUAAAAUAUAUUACAACUUGAGCUAAGAAUUAAUACCAGAUUGUGGAAUUGUUCCCUCUAGCAGAACAAUAGAAAAUAAAUGUUAUGGUAGAAGGAUUGAUUUCGUAGUAUGUGUGACAAAUUCUUGGUCCAAUUGAACUAGACGUAAAUCUAGAGAGAGAGUGCAAAGAGUUGCCAUGUUUCUAAUCAAAUCUGUCCCCUCCUCCAAACUAUUUAAAUCAGUGCUGAGGGUAAUCUCCCUUAAGUCCUAGAGGAAAGGGCUUUAUACACACAUACAUAUCAUAUAUAUGUGUGCAUGUGUGCGUGCAUGAAAGCAUGCACACAAUAAAGGACAAGUAGAUACAUUAAUACAACUUAGGACACCAAGGGAAAGACAGUGAGAAAAGGAGCAGUUGACUAGCUGUUAUGGCCGUUAUCGUGAAAAUAGGGAUAGAAGCCGUAUUACAAAUCAUCCUCCCUCUGGUUUUGCUCCUUGUGUUUAUGGUAAGUUGUGUUGCCUAUAUAUUUAGCCUGACAGUCCUCUUUUCCAGCCAGUAGAUGGUCCUGUCACUUGAAAUUUGGCAUCAAUAAGUUUAUUUCCACUUCUUGAAAAUAGGACUAAACUAAAAUACCAUUUUUGACCUUCUAACAUUGAAGAUUAAAUCAUUAAACUAUAAACUUGCAAAUUUUUACUAAAAGCUAAAUAAAAAGAGAAAUCGAGAUACAAUCCCCCCAUCAACCCCAACCAUUCACUGGCACACACAAGAAAAACAGGAAGUGGGCCUAAUACUUGGUUCAUUGACAUCGAUUCGCCAUCCUAAUUGAGUAAUCUUGUACUAUGAUAGAGAUUUUUUGAGUACUCAUUAUCAAGGUACUCCGAACCGGUACCGAGAGGCGUACCGGUGGUCUACCAGACCAGUUCAUCGUUCUUCGUACCAUUUCGGUACUGGACAAGCGAGU